UACGAAGGGGGCUAGCGUGGCUCGGAAUUACUGGGCGUAAAGGGCGCGAAGGCGGUUAUAUCAGUCAGGUGUGAAACCCCUGGGCUCAACCUAGGAACUGCACUUGAGACGGUAUGGCUUGAGUUCGAUAGGGGAUGGUGGAACUCCCAGUGUAGAGGUGAAAUUCGUAGAUAUUGGGAAGAACACCGGUGGCGAAGGCGGCCAUCUGGCUCGAUCCUGACGCUGAGGAGCGAAAGCGUGGGGAGCAAACAGG
Molecule: ribosomal RNA, 253 nt
Filed under: uncultured bacterium
Lineage: Bacteria
Description: partial 16S ribosomal RNA
Rfam family: Bacterial small subunit ribosomal RNA
Source: RNAcentral